Long non-coding RNA from Boleophthalmus pectinirostris (great blue-spotted mudskipper), 894 nucleotides. RefSeq lists it as uncharacterized. The record is from RefSeq and is a predicted model, not a curated record. Lineage: Eukaryota; Metazoa; Chordata; Actinopteri; Gobiiformes; Gobiidae. The transcript is spliced from 6 exons.
CCUUGGAUGGCCUGCUGUUACAGAGAGAAUCUGCGGUUAAAUCAUCUUAGAUCCGCACUGUGAACGCACUUUUAACACAACACUUUGUUUUUGACACAAUGAUUUGUACUAUCAAUGCGCCGAUCCGCGGCUAACCCGGUUCGGAUUCGCUGCGCGGACGCGCCACUGACUCAGCCGUUAUCAGAACCUGAGAGAAAGAAACAACAUCCACCUGUUGUCCGUGGAUUUCACUAUGACAUCAGGACCCUGUCCUUCUGCUGAGUGUCUCCAUCAGGAGGCCGACACGCUGAUCAGAAAAUAUACUAUGGUUAAUAAGAAGAUGGACAUAACAGCAUGAUAAAGACCCUCUGGAGAAUUCCCUCUGCUGGGCCAAGUUCCAAAAAUGUAGAGACAGACCCUGUAUUGUUUCUUUCAGAACCUGCUGUGGUGGAGUUUACAGACUGACCCUCUAUGCUGUGAGAAAGGGGAAGCCCAGAGCUGGACACUGACAGACUGGAUCUUCACCAGUAGGACUGAAAAGGAGCCAGACUCACUACACCUCUGCCUCAAAACCUCUGCCUCAAAACCUCUGCCUCAGACUGAAGCUAAAGACAGAGGCUCUGAAGCUCCCACACUUCACACUCUAUAAGAACAACCACCCGUCUAAUUGUUCUGUGGUGGUAAACACAAGUUAAGUUUGAGUUUAAACAGUAUGGUUUGGCUACACUCUGUCUCAUCUGUCCAGGCUUUUACUCAUAUAGCUUAUAUUUGUUUUUUGCCAUUUAAAAAAAAACAAAAACUUUGCUUAACUUGAAGUAUUUUUAGUAAAAACUGUAAAUUGUCAUUUUCAUAUUAAGAAUGAAGCAUUGGUUAACUCAAAGGGUAUAUAAGUCCUAUAACAUUAAUAAUAAUUAU